RNAcentral lists this ribosomal RNA (128 nucleotides) under Notechis scutatus (mainland tiger snake). Lineage: Eukaryota; Metazoa; Chordata; Lepidosauria; Squamata; Elapidae. The record is from RNAcentral.
UCUGGUUUUUGUCUCAGCAGGUGGCAGCACCUAGUCAACCUUGUCUGAAUUUCAAAGCUAAGCAGGUUCAGGUUUGGUUUUUACUUCAGUGGGAGCCUACAAGGGAUAUCAGGGCUGGAAAACCAGAA